Molecule: long non-coding RNA, 517 nt
Filed under: Medicago truncatula (barrel medic)
Lineage: Eukaryota; Viridiplantae; Streptophyta; Magnoliopsida; Fabales; Fabaceae
Description: long non-coding RNA (MTRU_LNC000304)
Source: RNAcentral
UCCAACUAAAAAGUCAAAAAUACAAAAUAUGACAUGCACUCUGCCUGAGCUCGCGAGGCGAGAAAGGGUUGCUCGCCAUGGCGAGUUGGACCAAACAACUCGCGAGGCGAAGGAAAGGGGCUCGCGUGGCGAGCGAUGAAGUCCAUCACUCGCGAGGCGAGGUUCAUCACUCGCUGUGGCGAGCGAUGAACAGAAGCACGGGCAGACUAGGGUUUUUCUCAAAAAUCCAUCACACAACAUGGUUCAAAGCCUAAUUUUGAUUCCAGAAUUCAUCCUAAACAUAUUCUAAGGUUAAAGGACGGUUUCUACAUCAAUCUAAACAAGUUUUACCGUUUGAUCAUCAAUUUUUAGGGUUUUAACCUAAUUCCAAAACUUUUCUAAAUCAAUCCUAACUUUGUCAACUAAUCAUCAGAAUUACAGAGGUUAAUGCUACUGAGUUAUUAGUCCCACCCUUACCUGGUUAUGAAGAAAAUCGCAGCCCUCUUGGUCUCUUGCUCCUCUCUAAGCUUUUUCUCCC